CUUCAAAGGGCCAAAUAACUCAUUUUGUCUGGGGGUAUAGAAGGCUGUUAGUCUCUGAUUGUGUAUACACUUUGAGCUUGUUUCUAUGCUUAUCGCUAUCAGUCACCAAAAGUGAUGCUUAAAAUGGUUGUCAGUUAAUUCAUGGCUGUUUCCAUGCUACAAUGCUUCAUCGUUAGUGACUGGUAAUGAGCACUUCAACCAGAUUUCAGAGCUGGAAUUAUUCAAAUAUACCAAUUAUGAAC
This is a non-coding RNA of Pelobates cultripes (western spadefoot toad), 242 nucleotides long. The record is from the annotation of a GenBank genome assembly. Lineage: Eukaryota; Metazoa; Chordata; Amphibia; Anura; Pelobatidae.